CAAAAAAUAGUUUAAUUAGAAUUUUAGCUUUGGGAGUUAAUGGUGGGAGUUGAAGUCUCUCUUUUUUGG
RNAcentral lists this transfer RNA (69 nucleotides) under Electrophorus electricus (electric eel). Its description in RNAcentral is "tRNA-Pro". It matches the Rfam family "tRNA". From Rfam's summary of the family: Transfer RNA (tRNA) molecules are approximately 80 nucleotides in length. Their secondary structure includes four short double-helical elements and three loops (D, anti-codon, and T loops). RNAcentral also lists the same sequence under 1 other name. The record is from RNAcentral. Lineage: Eukaryota; Metazoa; Chordata; Actinopteri; Gymnotiformes; Gymnotidae.